Molecule: unclassified non-coding RNA, 464 nt
Filed under: Hevea brasiliensis (rubber tree)
Lineage: Eukaryota; Viridiplantae; Streptophyta; Magnoliopsida; Malpighiales; Euphorbiaceae
Source: RNAcentral
GAUUUGAUGCAUGAUCUUGCUGCACAAGUAGCGCAAGAUGAAAUCAUUUUAUUAAAUUCAGAUGCAAAGCGUGUUGAAAAAAACACUCGACAUUUGUCAAUUGAUUUUAAAGUUGAGUCGUGGCAAAAAGUCGCAAGUUGCUUACCUAAUGUGUCAAAGAUGAGAACAUUUACAUCACUUGAUUGGUCAAAAAAGCAUGAUAUUAAAGAAGUAGAAUGUGAGGAAAUUUUUUUCAAAUUAGGUCAUGUAAGAGUAUUAAGUUUGCGUGGUUGGGGAAUUAAGAGAGUGCCACGUUCAAUUGAUAAAUUGAAGCACAUAAGGCUUCUCAAUCUUUCUGAUAACAAAGGCAUUGAAAUCCUUCCUGAUUCCAUUAUUAAACUCCAAAACCUGCAAACUCUGUACCUAUAUGAUUGUGAAAAGCUUAAGCAGCUGCCUAAGCAUAUGAAAAGGUUGGUCAAUCUCAA